This 422-nucleotide ribosomal RNA is filed under the name uncultured archaeon. RNAcentral's name for it is "partial 16S ribosomal RNA". It matches the Rfam family "Archaeal small subunit ribosomal RNA", at positions 323 to 746 of the family's 1478-position model. The record is from RNAcentral.
CUACGGGCGGCUGCAGGCGCGAAACCUCUACAAUGCAGGAAACUGUGAUAGGGGGACUCAAAGUGCUCAUACAUUGUAUGGGCUUUUGCCAAGAGUAAAUACCUUGGCGAAUAAGUGGUGGGAAAGACUGGUGCCAGCCGCCGCGGUAACACCAGCGCCACAAGUGGGAGCCGCGUUUAUUUGGCCUAAAGCGUCCGUAGCUGGUUUGAAAAAUCUUUUGUGAAAUUGUGGAGCUUAACUCUACAACGUGCAGGAGACACUUUCAGACUAGGGACCGGGAGAGGUAAGGAGUAUUCAUGGGGAAGCGGUAAAAUGUUAUAAUCCCACGAAGACUACCAGUGGCGAAGGCGCCUUACCAGAACGGGUCCGACAGUGAGGGACGAAAGCCAGGGGAGCGAUCCGGAUUAGAUACCCGCGUAGUC